GUGCUCACUUCAGCAGCACAUAUACUAAAAUUGGAACAAUACAGAGAUUAGCAUGGCCCUUGCACAAGAAUGACAAGCAAAUUUGUGAAGCGUUCCAUAUAUUC
Molecule: small nuclear RNA, 104 nt
Filed under: Choloepus hoffmanni (Hoffmann's two-fingered sloth)
Lineage: Eukaryota; Metazoa; Chordata; Mammalia; Pilosa; Megalonychidae
Source: RNAcentral